This 64-nucleotide transfer RNA is filed under the name Cherax sp. HG-2014b. RNAcentral's name for it is "tRNA-Asp". The record is from RNAcentral. Lineage: Eukaryota; Metazoa; Arthropoda; Malacostraca; Decapoda; Parastacidae.
ACAAAAAUUAGUUAAAAUAACAUUAGUUUGUCAGACUAAAAUUAUCGUAUUUAUGAUAUUUUUG